GCCAAAUUACCAAAAUCAACAUAUCUAUCACUUGAUCAAAAGCAUAAAAACCAUGCUUAACAAAAUAAAUAAGCCAUUUUCGCAUGGCUCAUAUUUACAACCCAAAAAUCAAACAUAUUAACUAGACUAUACAUGCCAUAAGUUUAAAUUCAAACUUAGUAUAAUACCGAAAAUAGUCGAUAGUGUGAUAGACUUCUCUGACGAUUCUCGUGCGCUUAACCAACUUCCAAAUCUAUAAAAUUGAAAGCAAUUACACACAGUAAGCUAUUAAAGCUUAGUAAGUCAUAAGCAAAUAAACAUUUAAUCAUUUACGUAAAUUAAGCUAGAAAAUUAGUAAUAAAUCAUUAUAAUUUCACAUAUAAUUCAAUUUAUCAACUUAUAUAUCAAAACUUAUAUAAUUUGUAAUAACUUCCCUUUUUACCGAAUAAUCAAUUGAACAUUAAUAUAACCAAUCAUCACUUUCCUCAAUGCACAUAUACAUCAAAGGUCGAAUACAUAUAUAUUCAAAUAUGCAAUCACAUAAUUCAUAUUUCACAUAACUUCAUAUCAUCAAUUCAAGUAUACAACUUACCUUAUUUUCAAAUAGGUAAUCAACUAUCACAUACCUGGUCACUUAGCCUGAUUUAUACAUUCAUACACAACUUAUCUUUGCCCGUUGAACCAUUCGGAAUUAAAAAGGAUACUCGGAUAGUCGGAAGACUCGUACAAUGCCAACGUCCCAGACGUGGUCUUACAUGUAAUCACAUAUCGAUGCCACUGUCCCAGACAGGGUCUUGCACAAAUCAAAUACGAUGCCAAUGUCCCAGACAUGGUCUUACACAUAAACACAAGUCGAUGCCAACGUCCUAGACGUGGUCUUACACGAAAACACAUAUCAAAAACCUUUGUCAUGACAUAUGUAUCCUAACUAUUCCUAAGGCUCAUACGGGAAUUUCGGACGUCGUAACUCAGUCGAAGCGAAUUCAUAAACAUAACUGCCAAGCUUGUACACAUUCGGCUAAUACAUAUAUUUAUUCACAUAUUCACUUCAGCACAUAUAAUUCACAUUUAAUUAAAAUUAACAACGUCUAUUUGCUUAUAAACUUACCUCGGAUAUCGACGGACGGAAUAGACGACUAUUCGAUUAUUUUUGUUUUUCCCCGAUCCAAAUCUGUUUUCUUUGGUUCAUGAUCUAAACAUAUUCAAAUUAAACUUAUUUAAACAUAAUUCCAUUCAAUUUAAUCCAAAAACACAUAAAUGAGAAAUUUACUAUUUUGCUCCUGACAUUUUACACUUUUUACAAUUUCGUCCCUAUUGCAUAAAACACAAAAUACACAAAAUUUCAUAAUACCCAUGCUUGGCCGAAUAUCACUCUAGCUCAUCUAAGUCCAUACAUUUAAUUUAUUUCACAUUUUAGUCCCUCAAAAAUUUAUUUUCACAAUUUAAUCCAAUUUACUCAAAUUCAUCAAAAAUCCAAAGACAAAACAUGAUAAUUUAACACAUAUAUUUAAUAUUUCAUCAUCAAACAACAAAAAUCUCAAACAUUCAUCAAUGGCACAUUUCAAAAUCACCAUCAAUUCACAAAAUUAAGGCAUGGGUUUUGAAGAACUCGAAGCAACGAUCUCAAAAACAUAAAAAUUAUCAAAAACUAAAGUAAAACAUACCUUGAAUCAAGCUAAAUAAUGCCGAAACCUAAAGAAAGCAUGGAUGAUUUCUUUCUUUUCUCCAUUCGGCCAACAAAGAUGAAAAAUAGCCAUCUUUUAUGUUUUAUUUUAUUAUAACUUAAUUUAUUAACUAAGUUACAAAAUUAGCCUUUUAGUAAUAAAUAUUUAUAACAUAUAAUAUAAGGCUAAUUUUGACCAUUGCCACCCACUAACAUUAAAAUGGCCUAAUUGCCACAUAAAACCUCCAUUUUAUAAAGACAACAACAAUUAAGCACUUUCAUAUUUAACCCUCAAAUUUUUACUUUACACGAUUAAGUUAUUUUCUCAAAUUAAGCACACAAAUAAAUUAUUUAUCGAAACUUUCACACAUAUAAUUUCACACAUAUUUAGCACAGAAAAUAAUAUUAAAAUAUUUUUUUAGACUCAGAUUUUUGGUCCCGAAACUACUGUUACGAUUAUGGUAAAAAUCAGGCCGUUACAAAUACCUUUUCGAAGGGAGAUGCUGAAAAGAUACUUCGUAUCCCGCCACUGUCGAAUAUUCUAUUGUACGCUCUGGGCCAUUUGGGGAGACAAAUGCUAGAAUCCAUGAAAGGAAAAUUAGUACUGGUCAGGAAAUAAUGAUAUUUGUCAAUAAUUACAUAAUUGAGUUAAAUGUGACUGAAAAGAGAAAUCCCCCAAAACCGCAGGAGUUGAUAAAAUGGAGUGGCCCACCUGGUUCUAUUGUCAAGAUCAAUUUUGACAGUGCGCAUGAUGGGUGUCACUACAAAUCGACAUCGAGUAUUGUGUCCAAAAAUGCUGAAGGGAUCGCUCUUUUUUCCUACUCAAAGACCCAAAAAGGGGUACCUUCCGCUUUCGCUGCCGAAGCACUUGCAUGCUGUAAAGUAGUUCAAAUAGGUAUUGAAAUGCAGUGGCUGGAGAUCAUUAUUGAAAGGGACUCAUUAGCCAUCAUCAAAAAGUGUCAAUCAAAAAGUCAAGAUAGAUCACAAGUAGGAGUGUACAUUCACGAUGUUCAUAAGAUAAUAGACAAAUUCAACAAUAUUGUGUUCAAACAUACUCCGAGAUCAGAAAAUGGUUUAACCCAUAUACUAGCAACAAAAUCUCUGAAGAAGACGGAGGAGUUUUACCUAUUAAAGAAUGUCUCUGGGUAUGCCGAGAAGCAAAAGAUUGCUAACUGGAUGCGAGAACCAUAUUGAAAUUGGCCGGGGGAGGGGAAAGGUGAAAGGAAAGUAUCACAUAGAAGCUAAAAAGUUUUUUUGAAGAACAG
This 2907-nucleotide long non-coding RNA is filed under the name Gossypium barbadense (sea-island cotton). Its description in RNAcentral is "long non-coding RNA (GBAR_LNC019019)". Lineage: Eukaryota; Viridiplantae; Streptophyta; Magnoliopsida; Malvales; Malvaceae. The record is from RNAcentral.